This 426-nucleotide long non-coding RNA is filed under the name Hordeum vulgare. RNAcentral describes it as "long non-coding RNA (HVUL_LNC002015)". Lineage: Eukaryota; Viridiplantae; Streptophyta; Magnoliopsida; Poales; Poaceae. The record is from RNAcentral.
GGAGACACAACAGAGAGAGGCUGCUGGAGUUGGAGAAGCAGAUUGCGGGCAGCUCGGUGGUGAUGCGGCGACGGCUGAAGGGGGGUCUCGGGCGAUGAAGAAGCCACUGGAGGAUGAGGCGCACGUCGGGUCUACGAUGGUGUCGUCAGCGGCGAUGAGGGAGUCCUCUGUUGGCGGUGGUGCUCCAACGUUGGCACGACAGUGAUGUGCUUCCCUUCGGGGUCACGAGCUCGCUUGGCUGCUCCUUUAUGCGAAGUAAUAGGUGAGGGAGGUAGGGAGACCAAGGAGGAAAAUGAAAGCACCAAGAUGCGAAGUUGGGAACCUUCGGUAGCGUCAAAUUCGACAGUGGCGGAGCUUCUGCUCAGGCGGACUCCGGCGAGAUCCGAAACUGAGGUAGACAGAGAGAUAGGGCAGGUGAUUUGGUGA